This is a long non-coding RNA of Cyprinus carpio (common carp), 1476 nucleotides long. RefSeq lists it as uncharacterized. Lineage: Eukaryota; Metazoa; Chordata; Actinopteri; Cypriniformes; Cyprinidae. The record is from RefSeq and is a predicted model, not a curated record. The transcript has 4 exons.
CGACCGACAGCGAGGAAGACGAGGGCGAGGUUCCCGCAGGAGGAAUCGCUGGGAGAAUCUGGCCACCAGCGGCCCCAUCAAACCUCACGAUGUGUGGGAGGGUGAGACGGGAGCAGCAGACGAGCGUCUGAAGAUGGAGACACUGUCCAAACCAGAGCACAGAGCAGAGGAUCAUGGGACGGAAAACCUGCUGCUGCUGCUGCCCAGUUUACCAAACUCUACAGCGCAGCUGCACAAAGGAAUCCUGAAGAAGAAGCAGCUGUCGCCAAUCGCCGAGAGGAACGCCAUCAACCGCAUCCACAACCAGCUGUCUGGAGACUCCCCCUCCUCACGCGGCCCCUCCUCCAGCGAGGGCCGAGGGGGCGGGGCUAGGCGGGGUCAUCUGAACGGGGCGUCGGCAAGCGGACUGAUGAAAAUGCUCGACAACGACCUCGUCUGAAUCUGAAUGCUGAUGAGUGACGAGGGAAUGAAGAGGCAAAGAACAAUCGUCCUGUUUCUGUCCCUCCGUUUGAUUUUUCCCACAUUUCACGCGACAGUCGAUCUGAUUCUCCGCGCCAAACGCUGGCGAGAAUCGGACGUUUUUUACAUUUUUGUUUACAUACUUGAAGCGAAGCACUUUUUUAUUUCUUUCGUCCUCUUGCCGCAUCGAAACCAACACAGACAUUUUGUAAAUGAGUGAAGAAGUAUCAGGGAACUUCCUCCAUGAAGCUGAACUACUGCUGCUGCUGUACGAGCGAUAACUAAAGGAAGGAAUCACCGGACGAACCGCGAGAAGGAACCGACUCCUGAUUCAAGCCUUUCACUCGUGUUCACGAUGCCUUCUCCACCAGAAGGGCCUUUAUUUCGUACCGUUGGAGGAGAGCAACACUUUUGAUACUCGCUUUUUUGUAAAUUUUUGGGGACAUUUUUAUACGAACUUUUAAAAAGACUGACGUUUUAUAGAUUAGCAAUGAUGUAAAUGUGAAUUUAAACCUGUGUUGUACAGAUCUCUAACACGUCACGCAAAAACCACACUAACCCAUGUUUCAUCUGGAUCACAUCUGCAUGGUUUAUUACGCUUCACUGCGUAGUUUUAUCACACGAUGUGCUGCUUCAGUCUUCUGAGACUCUCCAGACGGGUCAUUUUUGGACUUUUGAUAACAAAUCAUGCUGUACAGUUUUAUACAUACGGUUCUUCGCUCUGUGCUUUAUUAUGGAAGCGUGUUUAAGCCAUGGGAUAAAACAUUUAAAAUUGGCAACUUUUUAUCCUACAAUUCAGACUUUUUUUCCCCUCAGAGAUAUAAACACGCAUUUAAAAUUCCGAGAUGUUAACUUGAAAUUUUGAGAUUCCUGAUUACAUUUUAAAAAUUUAUUCCAUAUCGGAAACAAAAAAAAAACACAAUUGCAAAAUAUAAAAGAAUUCUUAGAUAAAAAAAAUUCUGAGAUUGCAAUUUGGAAAAAAUUGCAGUUAUAUUUGAUAUUUUUUAUACUUUUGCA